GCGUGCAAGUGUUUGAACCAGGGUCAGUGUGACGACAAAGGCAAAUGCAUCUGCCCGAAGGGAUUCACUGGAGACAAUUGCCAGAAGGUUGUGUGCACACAUCCCUGGGUGAAAAAGAACAAAGUAUGCGAAUGUAAACCCAGACUAAAUGGACCUAACUGCACAGAAGCAUGCAAUUGCCUGAAUAAUGGUCAGUGUACUGAAGACGGCAUCUGCGUCUGUCCGACCGGAUUCCGCGGAG
This is a long non-coding RNA of Sycon ciliatum, 241 nucleotides long. RefSeq lists it as uncharacterized. The transcript is spliced from 3 exons. Lineage: Eukaryota; Metazoa; Porifera; Calcarea; Leucosolenida; Sycettidae. The record is from RefSeq and is a predicted model, not a curated record.